GCAAGUCGAACGAACGGAGAUAGCUUGCUAUCAAAGUUAGUGGCGGACGGGUGAGUAACACGUGAGCAAUCUGCCUUUAAGUGGGGAAUAACGAUUGGAAACGGUCGGUAAUACCGCAUAAUAUAGCGAAACCGCAUGAUUUUGCUAUCAAAGAUUUAUCGCUUAAAGAUGAGCUCGCGUCUGAUUAGCUGGUUGGUGAGGUAACGGCUCACCAAGGCGACGAUCAGUAGCCGGACUGAGAGGUUGAACGGCCACAUUGGGACUGAGACACGGCCCAGACUCCUACGGGCGGCAGCAGUGGGGAAUAUUGCACAAUGGGCGCAAGCCUGAUGCAGCGAUGCCGCGUGAGGGAAGAAGGUUUUCGGAUUGUAAACCUCUGUUGACAGGGACGAUAAUGACGGUACCUGUUCAGAAAGCUCCGGCUAACUACGUGCCAGCCGCUGC
RNAcentral lists this ribosomal RNA (444 nucleotides) under uncultured bacterium. RNAcentral's name for it is "bacterial SSU rRNA". It matches the Rfam family "Bacterial small subunit ribosomal RNA", at positions 57 to 518 of the family's 1533-position model. The record is from RNAcentral.